Molecule: ribosomal RNA, 551 nt
Filed under: uncultured bacterium
Lineage: Bacteria
Description: bacterial SSU rRNA
Rfam family: Bacterial small subunit ribosomal RNA
Source: RNAcentral
UGAGGAAUCUUGCGCAAUGGGGGAAACCCUGACGCAGCAACGCCGCGUGAGUGAUGAAGGCCUUCGGGUCGUAAAGCUCUGUCGGAUGGGAAGAAAGUCUUUGCGGUGAAUACCCGCAAGGAUCGACGGUACCGUUAAAGGAAGCACCGGCUAACUCCGUGCCAGCAGCCGCGGUAAUACGGAGGGUGCAAGCGUUGUUCGGAAUUAUUGGGCGUAAAGAGCGUGUAGGCGGCCUAGUAAGUCAGAUGUGAUAUCCCUUGGCUUAACCAAGGAAGGGCAUUUGAAACUGCUGGGCUUGAGUACGGGAGGGGGAAGUGGAAUUCCCGGUGUAGAGGUGAAAUUCGUAGAUAUCGGGAGGAACAUCAGUGGCGAAGGCGGCUUCCUGGAUCGAUACUGACGCUGAGACGCGAAAGCGUGGGGAGCAAACAGGAUUAGAUACCCUGGUAGUCCACGCCGUAAACGUUGGGCACUAGGUGUUGUGGGUAUUGACCCCCGCAGUGCCGAAGUUAACGCAUUAAGUGCCCCGCCUGGGGAGUACGGCCGCAAGGCUA